This 451-nucleotide ribosomal RNA is filed under the name uncultured bacterium. Its description in RNAcentral is "partial 16S ribosomal RNA". It matches the Rfam family "Bacterial small subunit ribosomal RNA", at positions 354 to 796 of the family's 1533-position model. The record is from RNAcentral.
GUGGGGAAUAUUGGACAAUGGGGGGAACCCUGAUCCAGCCAUGCCGCGUGUGUGAAGAAGGCCUUUUGGUUGUAAAGCACUUUAAGCGAGGAGUAGGCUACCGAGAUUAAUACUCUUGGAUAGUGGACGUUACUCGCAGAAUAAGCACCGGCUAACUCUGUGCCAGCAGCCGCGGUAAUACAGAGGGUGCAAGCGUUAUUCGGAUUUACUGGGCGUAAAGCGCGCGUAGGUGGCCAAUUAAGUCAAAUGUGAAAUCCCCGAGCUUAACUUGGGAAUUGCAUUCGAUACUGGUUGGCUAGAGUAUGGGAGAGGAUGGUAGAAUUCCAGGUGUAGCGGUGAAAUGCGUAGAGAUCUGGAGGAAUACCGAUGGCGAAGGCAGCCAUCUGGCCUAAUACUGACACUGAGGUGCGAAAGCAUGGGGAGCAAACAGGAUUAGAAACCCGAGUAGUCC